This 770-nucleotide unclassified non-coding RNA is filed under the name Hevea brasiliensis (rubber tree). The record is from RNAcentral. Lineage: Eukaryota; Viridiplantae; Streptophyta; Magnoliopsida; Malpighiales; Euphorbiaceae.
AUGUUUUAGAGAUGAAGGCAACUUGUAGUUGCCAGAUGUUUGAGUUCUCAGGUCUUCUUUGCAGACAUGUUUUGGCAGUCUUUAGAGUGACAAAUGUGCUUACUCUCCCAUCACAUUAUAUUUUGAAAAGAUGGACGAGGAAUGCCAAGAGUAGUGUUAUAUUGGAAGAACGUUCUACUGAUGUAUAUGCUAAUUAUCUGGAAUCUCACACAGUUCGAUAUAAUACCCUACGCCAUGAGGCCUUCAAAUUUGUAGAUGAAGGUUCCAAGUCCCUAGACACGUACAAUGUGGCAGUAAGUGCUUUGCAAGAGGCUACAAAAAGAGUCGCACUUGCAACAAAGAAUGAGAGGAGAAGUUCGACGGUGAAUGGUCGUAGUAGAGGGGAGUUGGCAAGUAAUGGAAGCAGGGCAAAUUAUAUCAGUGGGAAUCAUCUAGGGAGCUCCACCCAACUCUUGUCAGAGGAUGAUAUGGACAAGAAGAUCCAAGAACUUACCAAUGAGCUGGAUUAUGCAAAUCGAAAGUGUGAAGUUUAUCGGGCUAACCUACUUUCGGUCUUAAAAGACAUAGAGGAUCAUAAACUACAGUUGUCAAUUAAAGUCCAAAACAUAAAGAUUAGUAUGAAAGACAGUAUCUAAAGUGCAAGGUAGUUUCUUUUGUAAUUCCGCACCCUCUUUCUCCCAAGGUUAAUUUUCAAGUCGAUGUGCUUCACCAUUCUCUAAAUCUAUUGACCUUUUGCAUAGCGUAGAUUUUGUGAAAUAUUUCAAUUAAUG